GUGAACGCUGGCGGUAGGCCUAACACAUGCAAGUCGAACGGCAGCACAGUAAGAGCUUGCUCUUACGGGUGGCGAGUGGCGGACGGGUGAGGAAUACAUCGGAAUCUACUUUUUCGUGGGGGAUAACGUAGGGAAACUUACGCUAAUACCGCAUACGACCUACGGGUGAAAGCAGGGGAUCUUCGGACCUCGCGCGAUUGAAUGAGCCGAUGUCGGAUUAGCUAGUUGGCGGGGUAAAGGCCCACCAAGGCGACGAUCCGUAGCUGGUCUGAGAGGAUGAUCAGCCACACUGGAACUGAGACACGGUCCAGACUCCUACGGGAGGCAGCAGUGGGGAAUAUUGGACAAUGGGCGCAAGCCUGAUCCAGCCAUACCGCGUGGGUGAAGAAGGCCUUCGGGUUGUAAAGCCCUUUUGUUGGGAAAGAAAAGCAGCAGGUUAAUACCCCGCUGUUCUGACGGUACCCAAAGAAUAAGCACCGGCUAACUUCGUG
This 491-nucleotide ribosomal RNA is filed under the name uncultured bacterium. Its description in RNAcentral is "partial 16S ribosomal RNA". It matches the Rfam family "Bacterial small subunit ribosomal RNA", at positions 29 to 507 of the family's 1533-position model. The record is from RNAcentral.